Molecule: small nuclear RNA, 130 nt
Organism: Chionomys nivalis (European snow vole)
Lineage: Eukaryota; Metazoa; Chordata; Mammalia; Rodentia; Cricetidae
Source: RefSeq, a predicted model, not a curated record
GUGUCAUAUGAAGGAGAGAAGUUCCACCUUCCUGAUAAAAACAGAAGAAGCCCUUGGGUCCUUGGGUUUAUUAACACAUGGACAGUUACGGUAUUGCCAACUGCUCUGUGGCAUCUAACCACUGUUGUGC